GGACUACCAGGGUUUCUAAUCCUGUUCGCUCCCCACGCUUUCGUCCAUCAGCGUCAAUCCACUUGUAGUAACCUGCCUUCGCAAUUGGUAUUCCAUGUAAUAUCUAAGCAUUUCACCGCUACACUACAUAUUCUAGUUACUUCCAAGUAAUUCAAGCUCUACAGUAUCAAUGGCCGUUCCAUCGUUAAGCGAUGGGCUUUCACCACUGACUUAUAAAGCCGCCUACGGACCCUUUAAACCCAAUGAUUCCGGAUAACGCUUGGAUCCUCCGUAUUACCGCGGCGGCUGGCAC
RNAcentral lists this ribosomal RNA (292 nucleotides) under uncultured bacterium. RNAcentral describes it as "partial 16S ribosomal RNA". RNAcentral also lists the same sequence under 1 other name. The record is from RNAcentral.